UGGAAAUCUGUCGAAACACACGAAGG
RNAcentral lists this non-coding RNA (26 nucleotides) under Mus musculus (house mouse). The record is from RNAcentral. Lineage: Eukaryota; Metazoa; Chordata; Mammalia; Rodentia; Muridae.